RNAcentral lists this ribosomal RNA (433 nucleotides) under uncultured bacterium. Its description in RNAcentral is "partial 16S ribosomal RNA". It matches the Rfam family "Bacterial small subunit ribosomal RNA", at positions 29 to 507 of the family's 1533-position model. The record is from RNAcentral.
AACGAACGCUGGCGGCAUGCCUAACACAUGCAAGUCGAACGAGACCUUCGGGUCUAGUGGCGCACGGGUGCGUAACGCGUGGGAACCUGCCUUUAGGUUCGGAAUAACUCAGAGAAAUUUGAGCUAAUACCGGAUGAUGUCUUCGGACCAAAGAUUUAUCGCCUUUGGAUGGGCCCGCGUUGGAUUAGCUAGUUGGUGGGGUAAAGGCCUACCAAGGCGACGAUCCAUAGCUGGUCUGAGAGGAUGAUCAGCCACACUGGGACUGAGACACGGCCCAGACUCCUACGGGAGGCGGCAGUGGGGAAUAUUGGACAACGGGCGAAGGCCUGAUCCAGCAAUGCCGGGUGAGUGAUGAAGGCCUUAGGGUUGUAAAGCUCUUUUACCCGAGAUGAUAAUGACAGUAUCGGGAGAAUAAGCUCCGGCUAACUACGUG